Long non-coding RNA from Neodiprion virginianus, 1610 nucleotides. RefSeq lists it as uncharacterized. NCBI's taxonomy places the organism in Eukaryota, Metazoa, Arthropoda, Insecta, Hymenoptera, Diprionidae. The transcript has 2 exons. The record is from RefSeq and is a predicted model, not a curated record.
UCCGAAUAAUUUUCGAUUUGGACGGAUUCGGCCGUGCAAUCGCGCAUCGGCAUUAUUUUUGCAGCUAAAGCAACAAGCUAUACAAGGAUAAGUAAUGAAAGGUACUCAUUUCUUCAAGUACAAAACACACAACACGAUGGAGGAUCUUUCAAUUCAAAUCAGGUCAUUCGCUGCUGCGGUUGCAAACGGUGUGAAGCUGGGCCCGAACGGCUUCACUGCCAGCCAACCGGCAUCGUGGACAGGUGGUGACAGAAAUGCGAUAUAAUAAUGACAACCGAUCUUUUAAGAAAGGAUCAGUGGUGACUUCGCAGGGGAAACAUGGCCAUAUAAAAGUAUAGCUGCGCGCUUGCUUAAUCACUUUCCCCGUCUGGCAGCCGAUCCCUAUUCUUUUGAUCAUCCGACAGAGAGAUGACUCUGUACGACUAGCUCUGUCUUUCAGUAGUUGACUAAUACAACUUCAACUAUAGCGUACGAAAUUCAAUUCCAUUGGUAAACAUUUGAUUGAACCAUUGUUUGUACGUAUUAAACACAGAAAUUGAUUAGUCGAGAAGCAUUUCUCACGUAGUGGGAUUUGGUUAAAGUAUUUAGAAUGAGAAUAAGAAAAAUGCAUAAUGCAUGUAAUAGUUGGGAGCAUUAAUUUUUCGCAUAUUUAUUCGUGACAAGGUUAUCGAUUUGACAUAUUAUGCUUAAUAAUUUUAUUUACAAAACAGUCAUCUGAUACAUGCACUAAUAAAUUUGUCUUACCUCGAAAAUCAACUAUUUACAUUUAUUGAGUAAUGGAACAAAUUCUCAGUGCACAAGCACCCGAGAUGGAUUCUCAAACUGAGUUUAUAUGUAUCCGGACAAAAUCAAUAUUCUGAUAUUUUUCCCACAGUUAAAUAAUUCUAUAACGUCGUAUUGAAAUUUCUCAGUAAUCGAGUAAUGAAAGUGGUAAAUUUAUAUAACCAGCUUUUCAUCUUCUGGGCAAAGAGAUGUGUGAGAUGUUCAGGUUGAAUAACAUUACACUGAGUUUAUUUCUGUCUCAUGUCCACCUAUGAAUUUCCACAAUUCUCAUGUAAUUGGAUAACAGCAAUGCUAAUCGAGUUAGAAGUAGCAGCAAAUCUGUUUUCUUUUAAUAUUUUUGAAAACAGGAUUGAGUCAAGAAAAGUCUGACUCUUAAAGUUUGUCUGUUAUUAUUAUUCCACAUAUAUUCUGCCCUUCAUGGUAACAAUCUGUUAUAAAUUGACAAUGACUCAAUGAUUGGAUUUGUCAUGUGGAAGUUGAGAUUGCACAAGGUAGUCAUCGUCAUAAACUGUCAAUGAUGUUGCCACUGAUAUUUAGUUACUUGUGCUUUCAUCGAUAAACUAAACACACCGUCGAUAGUUAACUAACUGUGAAUUAAUACAUUAUACGUCACAAUAAACUACUUCUAAGAUUUCUAUCCGUAGUAAAUGUUACAGAUAAAGUAAAUAUAUGUACAUUUGGGUGUGUUGUUUUAAAUCCAAAUUUUUUUCUCAAACUAUGAUGAAAAACAGGUUUAGAAUGGGACAAUUAACAAAUUCUCCCAUAACUGGGUGCUGACAAUUAAUAUAUAUACGAUACUUAAUGUGUUUCAGAUGCCUCAGUCUGGU